GCCUUCGUGGUGUAGUUCGUGGCACGCUUGGCCCGUAUUCGAGAGGUCUGUGGUUCGAGUCCCGGCGAGGGUA
Molecule: transfer RNA, 73 nt
Filed under: Stegodyphus mimosarum
Lineage: Eukaryota; Metazoa; Arthropoda; Arachnida; Araneae; Eresidae
Rfam family: tRNA
About the family: Transfer RNA (tRNA) molecules are approximately 80 nucleotides in length. Their secondary structure includes four short double-helical elements and three loops (D, anti-codon, and T loops).
Source: Rfam by way of RNAcentral